CGUACACUCCUGCGGGAGGCAGCAGUGGGGAAUAUUGCACAAUGGGCGCAAGCCUGAUGCAGCCAUGCCGCGUGUAUGAAGAAGGCCUUCGGGUUGUAAAGUACUUUCAGCGGGGAGGAAGGCAAUACGGUUAAUAACCGUGUUGAUUGACGUUACCCGCAGAAGAAGCACCGGCUAACUCCGUGCCAGCAGCCGCGGUAAUACGGAGGGUGCAAGCGUUAAUCGGAAUUACUGGGCGUAAAGCGCACGCAGGCGGUCUGUCAAGUCGGAUGUGAAAUCCCCGGGCUCAACCUGGGAACUGCAUUCGAAACUGGCAGGCUUGAGUCUUGUAGAGGGGGGUAGAAUUCCAGGUGUAGCGGUGAAAUGCGUAGAGAUCUGGAGGAAUACCGGUGGCGAAGGCGGCCCCCUGGACAAAGACUGACGCUCAGGUGCGAAAGCGUGGGGAGCAAACAGGAUUAGAAACCCGUGUAGUCCCAUGA
RNAcentral lists this ribosomal RNA (479 nucleotides) under uncultured organism. RNAcentral's name for it is "partial 16S ribosomal RNA". It matches the Rfam family "Bacterial small subunit ribosomal RNA", at positions 330 to 800 of the family's 1533-position model. The record is from RNAcentral.